This 253-nucleotide ribosomal RNA is filed under the name uncultured bacterium. RNAcentral describes it as "partial 16S ribosomal RNA". It matches the Rfam family "Bacterial small subunit ribosomal RNA", at positions 524 to 776 of the family's 1533-position model. The record is from RNAcentral.
UACGUAGGGGGCAAGCGUUGUCCGGAAUUAUUGGGCGUAAAGAGCGUGUAGGCGGUCCGAUAAGUCGGCUGUGAAAGUCAGGGGCUCAACCCUUGAAAGCCGGCCGAUACUGUCGGACUAGAGUCCGGAAGAGGCGAGUGGAAUUCCCGGUGUAGCGGUGAAAUGCGCAGAUAUCGGGAGGAACACCAAUGGCGAAGGCAGCGCGCUGGGACGGUACUGACGCUGAGGCGCGAAAGCGUGGGGAGCAAACAGG